GGCACUGUGCCAGAAAUUGAUUGGAUUACUUUGAUGUGGUAGACAUAUGACUUAGUCAUCGGUGCUU
Molecule: transfer RNA, 67 nt
Filed under: Xyloredo sp. E88
Lineage: Eukaryota; Metazoa; Mollusca; Bivalvia; Myida; Pholadidae
Also listed under: 1 other name
Description: tRNA-Ile
Source: RNAcentral